This 83-nucleotide small RNA is filed under the name Xylella fastidiosa. RNAcentral's name for it is "isrK". It matches the Rfam family "isrK Hfq binding RNA". Lineage: Bacteria; Pseudomonadati; Pseudomonadota; Gammaproteobacteria; Lysobacterales; Lysobacteraceae. The record is from RNAcentral.
GCAGCGGCAAAAUCCGCUGCCGGGUUUAGAAGCCUGAAAAUAAGGCGCGAAAAGCGCCCAUUUCCGAUGCUGGCGCUUUUUCA